This 545-nucleotide ribosomal RNA is filed under the name uncultured bacterium. RNAcentral's name for it is "bacterial SSU rRNA". It matches the Rfam family "Bacterial small subunit ribosomal RNA", at positions 28 to 568 of the family's 1533-position model. The record is from RNAcentral.
AUUGAACGCUGGCGGCAGGCCUAACACAUGCAAGUCGAGCGGUAGAGAGAAGCUUGCUUCUCUUGAGAGCGGCGGACGGGUGAGUAAUGCCUAGGAAUCUGCCUGGUAGUGGGGGAUAACGCUCGGAAACGGACGCUAAUACCGCAUACGUCCUACGGGAGAAAGCAGGGGACCUUCGGGCCUUGCGCUAUCAGAUGAGCCUAGGUCGGAUUAGCUAGUUGGUGGGGUAAUGGCUCACCAAGGCGACGAUCCGUAACUGGUCUGAGAGGAUGAUCAGUCACACUGGAACUGAGACACGGUCCAGACUCCUACGGGAGGCAGCAGUGGGGAAUAUUGGACAAUGGGCGAAAGCCUGAUCCAGCCAUGCCGCGUGUGUGAAGAAGGUCUUCGGAUUGUAAAGCACUUUAAGUUGGGAGGAAGGGCAGUAACCUAAUACGUUGCUGUCUUGACGUUACCGACAGAAUAGGCACCGGCUAACUCUGUGCCAGCAGCCGCGGUAAUACAGAGGGUGCAAGCGUUAAUCGGAAUUACUGGGCGUAAAGCGC